CUUGUACACACCGCCCGUCACACCAUGGGAGUUGGAUUUACCUGAAGACGGUGCGCUAACCCGCAAGGGAGGCAGCCGGCCACGGUAGGGUCAGCGACUGGGGUGAAGUCGUAACAAGGUAGCCGUAGGGGAACCUGCGGCUGGAUCACCUCCUUU
This 156-nucleotide ribosomal RNA is filed under the name Bradyrhizobium japonicum. RNAcentral describes it as "partial 16S ribosomal RNA". It matches the Rfam family "Bacterial small subunit ribosomal RNA", at positions 1380 to 1533 of the family's 1533-position model. Lineage: Bacteria; Pseudomonadati; Pseudomonadota; Alphaproteobacteria; Hyphomicrobiales; Nitrobacteraceae. The record is from RNAcentral.